This 266-nucleotide ribosomal RNA is filed under the name Enterobacter cloacae. RNAcentral's name for it is "partial 16S ribosomal RNA". It matches the Rfam family "Bacterial small subunit ribosomal RNA", at positions 872 to 1138 of the family's 1533-position model. The record is from RNAcentral. RNAcentral also lists the same sequence under 6 other names. Lineage: Bacteria; Pseudomonadati; Pseudomonadota; Gammaproteobacteria; Enterobacterales; Enterobacteriaceae.
CCUGGGGAGUACGGCCGCAAGGUUAAAACUCAAAUGAAUUGACGGGGGCCCGCACAAGCGGUGGAGCAUGUGGUUUAAUUCGAUGCAACGCGAAGAACCUUACCUGGUCUUGACAUCCACAGAACUUAGCAGAGAUGCUUUGGUGCCUUCGGGAACUGUGAGACAGGUGCUGCAUGGCUGUCGUCAGCUCGUGUUGUGAAAUGUUGGGUUAAGUCCCGCAACGAGCGCAACCCUUAUCCUUUGUUGCCAGCGGUUAGGCCGGGAAC